Molecule: ribosomal RNA, 352 nt
Filed under: uncultured bacterium
Lineage: Bacteria
Description: bacterial SSU rRNA
Rfam family: Bacterial small subunit ribosomal RNA
Source: RNAcentral
GCUCAGGAUGAACGCUGGCGGCGUGCUUAACACAUGCAAGUCGAGCGAAGCGCUUUGGAAAGAUUCUUCGGAUGAUUUCCUUUGUGACUGAGCGGCGGACGGGUGAGUAACGCGUGGGUAACCUGCCUCAUACAGGGGGAUAACAGUUAGAAAUGUCUGCUAAUACCGCAUAAGACCACGGUACCGCAUGGUACAGUGGUAAAAACUCCGGUGGUAUGAGAUGGACCCGCGUCUGAUUAGGUAGUUGGUGGGGUAACGGCCUACCAAGCCGACGAUCAGUAGCCGACCUGAGAGGGUGACCGGCCACAUUGGGACUGAGACACGGCCCAGACUCCUACGGGAGGCAGCAGUA